Long non-coding RNA from Sapajus apella (tufted capuchin), 3511 nucleotides. RefSeq lists it as uncharacterized. The record is from RefSeq and is a predicted model, not a curated record. Lineage: Eukaryota; Metazoa; Chordata; Mammalia; Primates; Cebidae. The transcript is spliced from 2 exons.
UCACUUGACCUCAAGUGAUCCACCCGCCUCAGCCUCCCAAAGUGCUGGGAUUACAGGCAUGAGACACCAUGCCCAGACAAGAAUUCUUUUGUAACAUGAAAGAGCUAUCUAUAAUUUAUGUUUUGGACUGCCCUGUGUGUGCUUACGUAUGUCAUGGCACUCUGGAAUAAUGCAAAGAUUAAUACAUUGAAACAGAGAUAUUAGUAUUAGAAAAAGCUGAAUAUUGGCUACUUCUAGUAGCUAAUUUCUAGCUUGACAGUAUAUGGUGAAAAUUUGAAAACAUGUUUUUCAGGCACAAUUGUAGAUGGAAAAAUUGGUGAAUAAAGGAUGGGUACAAUACAACUACAGGAAACCACAAUCAAUGGAAAUGUUAAGAGAGCACACUAUAAAAUAGAUACUAUGUGUUUGUUGAAUGAAUGGAUGAAUGAAUACAAGUUAUUUAAACUGAAUAUUGAACAUUAGGGGCAAAUCAUAUUACCGUUACUGAGGUGACACAAGAAAAUUCCCUCAAACUAGGAAAAUCUACUUUUUACUGAGGCUUGUUUUCUUUGUUUUGUAUCUGCACUAGUGAUUGGUCAUUGUUUUAGAAAUAUCAUUUCUACCUUAUAUGUAUAUUUUUAAUGUUAAGAAUGAGUAAAAUAAAACCAUGUGAAUUAUAGGGUCUGUAUUAACAAUAGCACAUAUUCUGAAAUUUUGCUGGGAUUUUAACAAUUAUUUUAUACUAUUCACUAUGUGGUUGUAUGGUUGGGUAAAUUAGUUCUAUUUUCUAAGAUUCAGUUUUCUGAGCUCUGGAGUGGACAUGCAUUAUAUUUGGCAGUUGUGAGGGUAAAAUGAGAAAAAGCUUGUGAAGUGCUUAGCACCACACCUGUCAUACUGUAGGUGUGCAAUAAAACAUUUGCAUUUAUUACUCUGACUUCUAGUCAGCAACCAGCAGAGCGCCUGCCCAUAGUAUGUACUCAGUACUUACUUGAUCAGCCAGUGAAUGCUCACUACCUUUCUCUGAGCCUUCCAGAAAACUUGGUCUCCCUUUUGUGGGGCAGGGCUUUAAGUUAAGGGCAAUGCUAUGCCUAAAGUGGGGAAAAAAUAUUAAAUUUGGCAAAUGUUCCGGUUUCAUAGUUAUAUUGCAAAAAUGUAAAUAUUGUAGUUGCUAUGUAAGGUCUCAAAAUCUACCCCUAAUGUGAAUGGUAUAGAGCCACAGCAAAUCACAAUGCCUGUUUCAAUAUUUGUGAGUUACUUAAGGAAAUAGCCUUCCCUAGGAGUGCAAAGAGAUGCUGGAUUCUUCUAUAAAUUUCCUAUUAAAAUCCAGUAUACUUUACUGCUAUCCAUUUUUCAUGAGGCCUUUCAUUUGAGUAUAAGAAAAUCCCAGGCACAAACAUAAUUGGAGAUAAAAGUGAACAUAGUCAUAACUGUUGCCUAGCAGGGAGUGUUCGAGGCGAUGGUAUUUAUGUAUUCAAGAAACUAAGACUUUUAAAUCCCGAACAUUUUCAUGGUCUGGAAUGGUGAUAUGUUUAUUUUUUCCUUUAUGUUUCCAAUAGCACUGAAUUACAGUCCCGCAAAUAAGAUUGGAAGAAAUAUCUCAAUAUUAUAUGUAAGAUAAUUCUCUGAAGAAUAAUUGUGACUGUUUUCUCUUAUUCAUUGAAAAUGAUACAUUAUUUAAAAAAUUAUUUCACUGAUAAUGUAUUAUAAGUAAUAUAAAUAAGUCCCUGGAUAAAAAUCCUUAUCUUGUCAUUUUUUAGUAGUCUUUAGAUUUCCCAAAGUGUGUGUAUAUGUACAUAUGUGUGUGUAUAUAUGUAUAUAUAUGUGUAUUUAUAUGUGUAUAUAUGUGUGUAAUUAUAUGUGUGUGUAUUUUUAUGUGUGUGUAUAUAUAUAUUUGGUAUACCAAAUAUAUAGGGAAAUAUAACCUUCUUAUCAACUAUCAAAUAUUGAUAUACUAAAUAAAUAUUGAACCUAAUAGAAUUGAACCUAGUUUGUGAAAUUCUCAGUUCCUCUGAACUUCCCCAUCUCCUCAGGCAAAUAAGAAGUGACUGUUAAGUUCUUAGAUGACAGUGAUCAGUUUUCUUAUUUUCAUACAUCUCUCCCCCUUGUUUUCUAUAUUGUGAUAUGCAGUGGGUUUUGUUGACUCUUUAGUUCAGUGCUGAUUAUGUUGUGCACAUGUAGCAAGAUUAUGAUCACUGAAAUUUAAAAAGAAAUCUUUCUCAGUUUGCCACUUUGUGAUGGCGUUUAAAAGCCAUUGUGUCUACAAUGAAGCUGCUUAGUCAUUCAACAACUAUUCACUGAGCACCUACUAUGUAUCAGGCACUGUGCCAGGUUCUAAAAUUGGAAUAUAGAGAAUUCAGACAUUUUACAAAUUUUACAGUAGUGAAAGACAAUUUAAGAGGCAUUAGUCAAUUUUUAUUGUUCCUUUUUCUUAAGUGUUGCUGUUAGGUGCUUAAUAAGUUAUAAAAAGAGUAAUGGUAGUGAUUAUGCAAACAUCAUCUAAAAGAAAUGACAUGAAAACUUGUCACAACUUCUAAGAAAAUAGUGAGAUCAUGAGAAUGAAUUAUUCUGAUAAGCAACUAUAAUUUUUUAAUCUGUCUGACAAAAAAUAUUUUUGUAGUGUAUACAUAGUAGUAACAAGCAUGCUUGUUAUGACAUCUUGUAGCAUGUAGCUUUCCUUGAAAGAGGCUGGAAACAUGUCAGGAUGUAUUUCUGGAUUCUGCCCUGCUCCUAACUGGAGCAAUUGCAUUGGGUUCUGAGUGACACUAGCACCCUCCCAUUCAAAAGUGAGUAGUCAAGAACUGUAAUGAAACUUGGAGGAAUAGUGAGUAUGUGUUAGGCUUCCUGGUGAUUGAUUGCACUUAAUGGAACAAAUAAAAGAAUAAAAUGUGGCAUUGGGGUACACCCAAUAAUUUCUCCAACUUCUCAGAUGUCAGCAGACUUAAUGCAGGUUUUGCAGUUAACAUGUCAGUCUGGUGGUGUCCCAUCAUCGGGGGCAGUGAAAGGUGUGCCUGGAGUUGGAACUUGCUAGAAGGAACCCUAGAAAUAGUCAAAAAGUUGGAAAUCAGGAGUAGUGUCUAAAAUCUUGUUUUUAUCAUUUUUAACUGUGUAAUUCUCAGCAAGUGUCUGAAAGUCCCAGAGGCUCCAUUUCUUCUUGUCCAAAAUGGAGAUAAUACCAAUCUUACAAGCUAAGGCUUUACAUAGUGACCUGAUGCUUAAUAGAUAAUUUGAGUAAAGGUGAGUAGGAUUUUCUAGAUUGUGAUGCUUUUCCAUAUGUGACCAUUGCCAUUUAGAUAACAUUUAAUGAGCAUUGACUACGUACCAGGCAUUGUUUGCAAAGUCACCUGUUUGACUUCUUUAAUACUCAGUAACCAUAUGAAGUAGAUAUUUUACUGUCCCUUCACAAAUGAGAACUCUGAGGGCAAACUAGUUAAGUGACAGAGUCAGAACUUUAAUCCGUGCAGUUAUCUCUGGACUUUUCUUAACUGUAAUUCUAGAACUUGAAUUACAUAACUUACUUUGGCCCCAGUAAGGU